GGCGAAAGCGUCAGACUGGAACGCGCCUGACGCUGAGGGACGAAAGCCAGGGGAGCGAACCGGAUUAGAUACCCGGGUAGUCCUGGCCGUAAACGAUGCGCACUAGGUGAUGGUGCGGCUAUGAGCCGCAUCAGUGUCGUAGGGAAACCGUUAAGUGUGCCGCCUGGGAAGUACGGUCGCAAGGCUUAAACUUAAAGGAAUUGGCGGGGGAGCACCACAAGGGGUGAAGCCUGCGGUUCAAUUGGACUCAACGCCGGGCAACUUACCAGGGGAGACAGCAGAAUGAGGGUCAGGUUGACGACCUUACCUGACAAGCUGAGAGGAGGUGCAUGGCCGUCGCCAGUUCGUGCUGUGAGGUAUCCUGCUAAGUCAGGCAACGAACGAGACCCGCACCUUUAUUUGCCAUCAAGAAGUCACGACUUCGUUGGGAACGAUAAAGGGACCGCCGUCGAUAAGACGGAGGAGGGAGCGGGCAAAGGCAGGUCAGUAUGCCCCGAAACCCUCUGGGCCACACUGCGGGCUGCAAUGGUGCGAACAAUGGGCUGUGAUCUCCGAAAGGAGAAACCAAUCCCGAAAUCGCAUCUCAGUGGGGAUUGUCGACUGUAACCUCGUUGACAUGAAGCGUGGAAUCCCCUAGUAACUCGCGCCGUCACCAUCGCGCGGUGAAUACGUCUCU
Molecule: ribosomal RNA, 676 nt
Filed under: uncultured crenarchaeote
Lineage: Archaea; Thermoproteati; Thermoproteota
Description: bacterial SSU rRNA
Rfam family: Archaeal small subunit ribosomal RNA
Source: RNAcentral